AACGAACGCUGGCGGCAGGCCUCAAACAUGCAAGUCGUAGGGGGGUGUAGCAAUACAUCACCGGCGGGACGGGUGCGUAACACGUGGGAAUAUACCUUUCGGUACGGAACAACUGCGGGAAACUGCAGCUAAUACCGUAUACGUCCUAGCGGAGAAAGAUUUAUCGCCGAAGGAUUAGCCCGCGUUCGAUUAGCUAGUUGGUGGGGUAAUGGCCCACCAAGGCGACGAUCGAUAGCUGUUCUGAGAGGAAGAUCAGCCACACU
RNAcentral lists this ribosomal RNA (263 nucleotides) under uncultured bacterium. RNAcentral's name for it is "partial 16S ribosomal RNA". It matches the Rfam family "Bacterial small subunit ribosomal RNA", at positions 29 to 314 of the family's 1533-position model. The record is from RNAcentral.